AGCACAUUAUUAGGCCUUUAUAAGGCAUCAUUAAUGUUUAUAAACAUGCUGCUAAAGAAUAAUCUACACUCGCUUCUAAGGAUAAACACGAGCUUCAUAAAAUAGUCAAAAGGAAUGUGACGAGAAUUUACAUUAAAGAUGAAAUGGGCUCCAACUUUCAAACGGAAAGAAGAUAUAAAUAAAUAAAGUUCAGACUGACAGAAGGAGGAAACACUGGAGAGAAGCGAGGGAAGAUAAGAAAACCGAACGCCACACUUUCUGGUCCGGGAUCAAAGCCCAGCCCUGGAAUUUAAGUCCGCAGCUAACAAAUGUUUUACACUACAAACAAGCCAGAAACCGCAGCGACACAUUUACAGUAGUGCAAAAGAAAAGCGAUCGCAGUCCAAGUGCGGAUUAGCGGCCUGGCAGCUCAGAGCAGUCAAUCUGCUGAAUUUGUCUUCUCUUCUUGGCAAAGACGAGCGAGUCUGACAGAGAGGAAAAAGCCAGCAAGAGGCAGACAGACAGGAGGCUUGACUUCCAUGACAACUGAUCAGAGAAAGAAGAAAACAGAUGUUCGUUUUUCUCCAGAAUAAAUGCAGCACAGCCAGGUGUGUUCCUCAAGCUGUGUGUCGCUGUGUUUCUAAAAGUGGAGUGAGAAUAAAUGAGGGUCAGAUGGAGCUCAGUGCUGAAUAAGAGAAGUUUCUGUGCAGAAAUCACAACUCAGCUGUCUGACUGCAGAACUGAUCUCAGGCCUGUAUCCUAACUGCAUUCCACACUUUCAGCAUUUCACCUGCUCUCAAAGUGCUGACUGUGUGAUUGUGUGUGUGUGUGUGUGUGUGUGUGUGUGUGUGUGUGUGUGUGUGUGUGUUUGUGUGUGUGUGUGUGUGUGUGUGUGUGUGUUUGUGUGUGUGUGUGUAUGUGUGUGUGUGUGUGUGUGUGUGUGUGUGUGUGUGUGUGUGUGUGUGUGUGUGUUUGUGUGUGUGUGUGUGUGUGUGUUUGUGUGUGUGUGUAUGUGGGACGUUCUCUCACCUGUUAGAACCAGAGCGGAGUGAAGAACCUUUACUGCACUUUCUUUACUAUUUAAAGACUUAAAGGAUAAGACGAGUGUUUUAUUUCCUCAAAUAUUCGGGAGUGUGUCCACAGAGCUGAGAGUGAUGGAGGGAAAAGAAAGAAAGAAAGAAAGAAAGAAAGAAAGAAAGAAAGAAAGAAAGAAAGAAAGAAAGAAAGAAAGAAAAGUUGCGGAAGGCAGGAAAGAAUGAAAGAGAGAACAGAAAUAAUAAAAACGUAAAUGAAAAGAAGUGGAAGUGUGACAGUAAUGAAUACUGAGAGAGAGAGAGAGAGAGAGAGAGAGAGAGAGAGAGAGUAAAAGAAAAAAAUUAGCAUAUGAAAGAAUAAAAAAGAACUGUAGAAAAAGGAAAAAGAUAAAACAUAAGAAUAAUUAUUUAAAAUAAAAAUUCUUUACACAAUUAAACUGUUAAUGAAGAAUCUUUAUACAGAUGAACAUAUUUGUGUCACACAUCUCUCUGCCCUCCGUCUCACUCCGUCGUCAGAAUGGGUUCAGGUUACACAGAACGUUCACUUCACUUCUCUUCACCUUUCUUUCUCUGUGAAACUUUUGGAUAAAUCUUUUAUAACUUUGGUUUGUUUGCUGUUUGAUUGUUUUUGCAGUUUUCACACAACACACGAUUAAACUAACUAACAAAUGUAAAAGACUUUUGAUGGAAUUAAAAUCUACAACAGAGUUUGAGCAGAACAUUAUGAGUUUGAAUCCUCACACAGUCGUCUGUGACCAGGGGGCGGGGCAUACGCUGUCUCAUCUGUCAAUCACAGCAACAAGAGCCAGUCAUGGAGCUGGUGUAUGUGGAAGAGAGCUGAUAGUGCUUUCGUCUGAGUGUGUGUUACGCCACGCUGUGAUGCAGCAGCAGCUUGUGGUGUGGUCCUGAUGUGGUCCUGUUCCUGUGUCCUGAUGGAAGCAUGAGAUUGUCUUCAUCUCGCCGGAUUCUAGCUGUCGUUUGAUGGGAGAAAGCUGACUGGUGGGUGGGAACUGGUCAAGAGCAAAAAUCUCCAGGACACAUGAAGAACUCUGUGUUAUCUCUGUUCUUAGUUUAGCAGCUCACAAGAUCUACAACAAAACAACACAAAGUGUGAUUCACUUCCUGAAGGAGAGUCGAUUCAGAUUCGAUUCAUUUUAGAAAUGCACUGAGACAUUCUCGCAUGUCUGCCUUUUAUUCUGAUGCAUGUGUGAGACCCGAACACACCGCACCAGCGUUCUGAUUUGUUUUGUCAUCAUCUUCAUCUGUACAUUUUUUUGCUUCCUGGGUGCUUUCAGGUUCAUGGUGUUCACACAGCUUUAAUCAUCACUGUACAGCUGGAGUAAAAGUGAAGCGACUGCUUGUUAAGGUGUUUUCACUGCAGCAGCGGCUAAAAUGUGGAGGAGGAACAGAUUAAACACCAGACGUCCUCGGCUCAUUAAAAUAAGCAGGAAAUGGACGGAGAACCGCAAGAAGAGCGGUGCAGUGGUGUGUCAAAGGAAAUGAGGAGGAAGUGGAGUGAAAUCACGGAGAUGUUUGCUCCUGGUCCUGCUCACGCUUUACACGUGUGUAAUCCAGACUGAACGCUCACCUCAGGGUCACGUUUUUGGAUCUUCCUCAAUUCUUCCUCAUCUUCAGUUCUUUAAUUCAAAGGUUGUUGAAGAUUGUAGUUUGUUUGCUUCCUUAACAUCUUUACACUGGGUUUAAUGAAAAGAGCUGCUCUCAGCAUGCUGACUUCCCCCUCGCUGUACUUCUGACCACUAAAUAAAAGAUUUCUCUGCCUACUUUCUCACAUAGUUGCAGGAACUAAACAUGCUGUGUUUUACUUUGUGGGUGGUGUUUUUUAUAUUUUAUAUGCAAGAAGGAAAAGAAGGAAAAAUAAAGCUGCUGACGUUGUGCAAGUGUCCAGAGUUAAAUGCCACUGACACCACGAGGCGCCGCAGUCGUCAGUUUCUGAAGUUUUAUUUACUGAAACUUUAAAAGAGAAAAAGAAAUAAAGAAAGUGAAGAAAGUGUAGAAGACUGGUCUGUUAAUGUAGAAGACUGGUCUGUUAAUGUAGAAGACUGGUCUGUUAAUGUAGAAGACUGGUCUGUUAAUGUAGAAGACUGGUCUGUUAAUGUAGAAGACUGGUCUGUUAAUGUAGAAGACUGGUCUGUUAAUGUCGCUGCUAUCGUUCUUCUGCUCCAUUUUACUCUCAGUCUCUCCUAACUUCAUUAGAAAUC
Molecule: long non-coding RNA, 3232 nt
Organism: Tachysurus fulvidraco (yellow catfish)
Lineage: Eukaryota; Metazoa; Chordata; Actinopteri; Siluriformes; Bagridae
Exons: 3
Source: RefSeq, a predicted model, not a curated record